GACGAACGCUGGCGGCGUGCUUAACACAUGCAAGUCGAGCGGAAAGGCCCUGCUUUUGUGGGGUGCUCGAGUGGCGAACGGGUGGGUAACACGUGAGUAACCUGCCCUUGACUUUGGGAUAACUUCAGGAAACUGGGGCUAAUACCGGAUAGGAGCUCCUGCUGCAUGGUGGGGGUUGGAAAGUUUCGGCGGUUGGGGAUGGACUCGCGGCUUAUCAGCUUGUUGGUGGGGUAGUGGCUUACCAAGGCUUUGACGGGUAGCCGGCCUGAGAGGGUGACCGGCCACAUUGGGACUGAGAUACGGCCCAGACUCCUACGGGAGGCAGCAGUGGGGAAUAUUGCACAAUGGGCGGAAGCCUGAUGCAGCAACGCCGCGUGCGGGAUGACGGCCUUCGGGUUGUAAACCGCUUUCGCCUGUGACGAAGCGUGAGUGACGGUAAUGGGUAAAGAAGCACCGGCUAACUACGUG
This 468-nucleotide ribosomal RNA is filed under the name uncultured bacterium. Its description in RNAcentral is "partial 16S ribosomal RNA". It matches the Rfam family "Bacterial small subunit ribosomal RNA", at positions 28 to 507 of the family's 1533-position model. The record is from RNAcentral.